RNAcentral lists this ribosomal RNA (253 nucleotides) under uncultured bacterium. RNAcentral's name for it is "partial 16S ribosomal RNA". It matches the Rfam family "Bacterial small subunit ribosomal RNA", at positions 524 to 776 of the family's 1533-position model. The record is from RNAcentral.
UACGUAGGGGGCAAGCGUUGUCCGGAAUUAUUGGGCGUAAAGAGCGUGUAGGCGGUCCGGUAAGUCAGCUGUGAAAGUCAAGGGCUCAACCCUUGAAUGCCGGUUGAUACUGUCGGGCUAGAGUCCGGAAGAGGCGAGUGGAAUUCCCGGUGUAGCGGUGAAAUGCGCAGAUAUCGGGAGGAACACCAAUGGCGAAGGCAGCUCGCUGGGGCGGUACUGACGCUGAGACGCGAAAGCGUGGGGAGCGAACAGG